GGCCCUACCCGGCUCCGUCCCUGGGUGUAAUGGUUUUUGAUUAAAAAAACUAAAAAAGAAAAAUAAGAAGAAAAUAAGAGGCAUAGAUAAAAGUUGAAAAGAAAGAAUAAAAAGAGAAGGGUAAAAAAAGAGGCAGAUAUACAAGGUUCGAUUUUGACACCAGCUCUCAUUUCUCUAUUUGGGCGAGUGAGGAACACACAGCAACAAAGUGGUUUAAAAGACUAGAUUUGAUCGAGUUCAAGUGUCUGGUUGAAACUUUGUGGAGUACAGCGACCGGGAUGACAAAUGGGAACAAAUCCAGGGGUCUCCCAGGCCAUUCCGCCUAUUUGAUAGGCACUAGAGGUGGCUCUUUGUCAUCGAUUGGGUCAAGAGGAUCUUCUGACCGAAGUAACAAUUCGGGUCAUAUGGGUGUUUAUUAGUGUUUUGUUAGAAUUAACUAUGGUUUUCUUUUGGUCUUUUUGAUGUUGAAUGAUUCAUUGAAACUUUAAACUUGUUUUGUGAUGCUGAUAUUAGAGUGGUUCAAACAGUCAUAUUAUGCAAAAGAAAA
Molecule: long non-coding RNA, 547 nt
Organism: Lycium barbarum (goji berry)
Lineage: Eukaryota; Viridiplantae; Streptophyta; Magnoliopsida; Solanales; Solanaceae
Exons: 3
Source: RefSeq, a predicted model, not a curated record